AGCCUUUGAAAUUUGUGUAUCAAAUAUGAUACAGUAGGCUUUAGGGUUUAAGCAGCUUUAAAGCACUGAAAGGAAAUCAGCAUGGUUGUCGGCAUGCCAUCAUUUUAUGGUGAUAGGGAAUAGAUGAGUUCUGUCUUACCACAUUACUGCUACAUGAUCUGCCAAGUUUGUGUGUUGGUUCAAUAUAAGCGCAGGGCACUGCCCUGGCACUUCUAAGGGGGCUGUUUUUUCAGUUUCAUUUUCCCUUUCCCUGUUAUAAGAUGUAACUUCUUGUCAAUGUACUUGGCCUUAUGUACAAUAUGAUGAUUUUAGUUUGUAACACAGUGUAGUGAAUAUUUGGCACACUCAAAGGCUAGGUUUCACUUUCAUUUUCACUUACACAAUGUCACAUGUCAUAGCUUUCAAAAAGCCUUUAUGAUCCAAAGCCAUGGAUUCAGUGAGGUAUGAGGAAAGUACCAAGCAACCAACAUAAGCUGCAACCCCAUUGGCUGGAAUGUUCAUUUAUGAGGGAAACUCCCAUAAAUGCACCUGCUGUGAGCACUGCAAUCUCACCAUUUACUCUCAUGUAUUCUGCGGGACAAGCAAGCUUUUUAUUUGUGUGAAGUUCAAACAAACAAAAAUGCUAAGCGUGUUGAGGCGGAAAAAAAAGAAUGGGAAUGAAGAGACCCCUUUAAUGAAAAACAUAGAGCAGACAGAUGGGGAACAGACAUCUGAAUACAGUUCACAGCAGUCCGGAGUUCCUGAUCUCAUCGCUCUAGAUGUUGAAGCGAGUAACAAGAGAGUGCUUAAUAUUCUCAGAAUGAUUCUGAGUGACCAAUCAACCCCUGAGGACUUUGACACUGCAGCUGAGGUGCUGAAAACAUGGAGCAAACUGAACAACAGCUUCUCUCAAGACUGGCUUUGUGAGUACCUUCAGGAAAUAGAUCAGUUUGUUGAGAAAAACUUUCCCUCGCUGCCAGCAGAGGGACCACAAGGAUCUCAGUUAGAGCAGAUGCAAGAAUUUCUAAACAGUGCACAGAGUGUUAUAUAUGAUGAGGUGUGUCGAUUAACACCUUUACUGAAAGAUGCUGGACUGCUAGUUCAUCUGAUGGACAGUUACAGCCAUCACCUCUUUACCAACCUGGACCUGCUCCUAAACAGAGAUCUUUCAGCGAAUGAAAUUUUCUGCCUUCUAAUGUGGGGAAAAAAUGUUUUCUUCAGUCCAGACUCACAGCAUUUCUUCAGAGUGUACGACCCUCUGCUGUUGACAGGUUGGUUUGAGAGAGCAACAAGGAAGCUGCUGCCAAAACUGGAGGAUGACAUCUCCACGACUCUACAGAACAUCCGACACUAUGAUGAGGAACAUGGACAUAAUGAGGACUCAAUGGAUGAAGAAACUUUCAUCAGAGUUCACUUAGAUGUCACCCAGUGUCUGAAUGCUGUUAUUAACAAUUCUAAAGAAUUUAGUAACACCCUGAUGUGUACAGCACAGACGCUCUGCCUUAAAGAGCUUCAUCAUUUUGUUCAGGAGUAUGCACAUGCACAGAAAAAAUGUCUGGGAAAACAGAAACCCCUGAACUCAAAAUAUGUGCAUCUGUUUCGGCUCAUCAGCACCAGUAGGCAACUCAGAUUUUUUGCUGAUCGACUCAACAAUCCGGAUAUUAACAACAGUAACGACCUCUCAAACAUCAUCUGCAUGUUAGAGGAGCUGGAAGAUCACGUUCUGUCAAUUGUACAGAAGAUGAUGAAACACUUAGCGCAGGGCUAUUUGAGAAAAUAUUUCAAAAAAGAAGGUGAGCAAAUUCAAAUGCUGACAGAGGGCAUUCAAAAGCGGUGUGCAUCUCUGCCUCAGGCUCAUGUGGGAAAAGAGAUUCAGGAGAUCUUUGUAAAUGUAGCCUAUGACUGCAUUUCACACGUAUAUCUGGAUUGCCUGAUGAAGAGCAAGUUCAAGCGGCUAGAGAAGAGAUGGGGAAAUGUCGGAGAAAGGAUGAGAGAGGAUGCUCUCAGUUUUCACAACACAUUUACUGAACUGAAUGGCAGUGAUGACCAGAGGUACCAUCUCCUUCAGAGAAUGAGUGAAGUUUUGCUCUGCAGUGAUGUAGAUGCACUGAAGAUUACCUGUUGUGAUUUGUUCAGGGAUUUCCCUCAAGACAGUGAGCAGUAUGUACCUGGUCUGCUGCGCUGGAAAGGUGUGUUAUCAGAGCGACAGGUGAAGGAAGUGCUGACUGUGAGCCGGGAUCUCGUUCUGGAUCUAAAGCCUAGACGUGUCACAUGUCAGCGUCUGAAGGGGCUUUGCUGUUGUCUUUGAUAUGAAUAGCAACAUCAGCCAGAUUUGUGAAACCUCUGUUUACAAGUUUAAAUUGAUGACAUGACUUUUGUGAACAUUAGUGAACAUUAGUUGUUUAUACAGGUACAUUUAUAUUUUAAUCAGAUACAAUAUUUUUGUACCUUUUAACCUUUUGAUUUUACUUGAAAAUAGGAAAUCAUGUUUCUAUCUGACCACCGGGAAAAAAAUGAAAUUACCCUUUUUGGUAUGUCUUUUCUAUGAUAGUAUAAUUAAUUAAGUUUAAAAAAUUAAGUAAAAUUUAAAUAUGGAAUUACCUAAAGUUGACUUAAGUUAUGUGAAAUUCGCAAAGGAAAUAAGUCAAUUUAACAUAGCUAUUUAGAGUUUGAUGAGUAAUUUCUUCUUAAUUAUUGCAAUACUCAAGUACUUUUCACUCAAUCAUAGUUUGUAAACUUCAUUCAAACAAUGUAGCACUGAAAAAAAAGAACUAUGCUAUUAAAGCAUGUGGUUCAUUUACAAACAUGUAAGCAAGCAAACCGCUUUUUAUCCUUUUUAAGAUGAUAUGUUUACACAAUAUAGUUUUUACCCAAAUGAGCAACAGUUACUAAAUCUAACAACAAAAGCAACAAGAAAACAGUGUAAAUAGAACUCGAAAACAUAAUUACUUAUUCCCCAGUGCAUGAAUCUUUGUAAACAUAACAAACAAUUCCAAGUAAAAUAUACUUAUAAGUUCAAACUUUAAUUUCUACAAGUUUAAAUUGGAUACUAAUAUAGAACUUACUCUUUUUUAAUUCUUGCCUGAACUAAACAUUUGUUUUUCCGUAGUAUUUACUAUUCAUUUUUAUCAGUGAGGAUGGUAACCACAUGUCCAUUUAUUUCUUAAAUUAUUGUUAAAUUAUUGUUGUAAUAUUUAAUAUUUAUAUUGGUUGUAUUUUCUUUUAUUUAUUCUUAUUUGAAAAUAGGACACAGUAUUUCUUUUAUGUAAGAUUAUUUUAUCAUACAAGAGUCAGUGGUACUAUAACAAGUAACUUUAAAAGUAUAACAAGUGACUUUGGUACCUCAAUAAAGACAUAAAUGACAUUUUU
This is a long non-coding RNA of Cyprinus carpio carpio, 3348 nucleotides long. The record is from Ensembl. NCBI's taxonomy places the organism in Eukaryota, Metazoa, Chordata, Actinopteri, Cypriniformes, Cyprinidae.